UCCAGGCGCCGUGGCACAAGCCUGUAGUCCCAGUUACACAGGAGGCCAAGGCAGGAGCCUGGCUUGAGCCCAGGAGUUCUGAGCUGGGCAUAUGCCAACUGGUGUCCGCACUAAGUUUGGCAUCAAUGUGGUGACCUCUCAGGAGCAGGGGACUACUAGGUCACCAAGAAGAGGUGAACAGACCCAGGUAGGAAAUGGAGCAGGUCAAAACUACUGUGUUGAUCAGUAGCAGGACUAGGCCUGUGAAUGGCCCCUGUACUCUGUUCUGGACAACAUAGCUAGACUCUGUCU
Unclassified non-coding RNA from Otolemur garnettii (small-eared galago), 291 nucleotides. It matches the Rfam family "Metazoan signal recognition particle RNA". From Rfam's summary of the family: The signal recognition particle (SRP) is a universally conserved ribonucleoprotein. It is involved in the co-translational targeting of proteins to membranes. The eukaryotic SRP consists of a 300-nucleotide 7S RNA and six proteins: SRPs 72, 68, 54, 19, 14, and 9. Lineage: Eukaryota; Metazoa; Chordata; Mammalia; Primates; Galagidae. The record is from Ensembl.